RNAcentral lists this ribosomal RNA (468 nucleotides) under uncultured bacterium. RNAcentral's name for it is "partial 16S ribosomal RNA". It matches the Rfam family "Bacterial small subunit ribosomal RNA", at positions 28 to 507 of the family's 1533-position model. The record is from RNAcentral.
GACGAACGCUGGCGGCGUGCUUAACACAUGCAAGUCGAACGGAAAGGCCCUGCUUUUGUGGGGUGCUCGAGUGGCGAACGGGUGAGUAACACGUGAGUAACCUGCCCUUGACUUUGGUAUAACUUCAUGAAACUGGGGCUAAUACCGGAUAGGAGCUCCUGCUGCAUGGUGAGGGUUGGAAAGUUUCGGCGGUUGGGGAUGGACUCGCGGCUUAUCAGCUUGUUGGUGGGGUAGUGGCUUACCAAGGCUUUGACGGGUAGCCGGCCUGAGAGGGUGACCGGCGACAUUGGGACUGAGAUACGGCCCAGACUCGUACGGGAGGCAGCAGUGGGGAAUAUUGCACAACGGGAGGAAGCCUGAUGCAGAAACGCCGCGUGCGGGAUGACGGCCUUCGGGUUAUAAACCGCUUUCGCCUGUGACGAAGCGGGAGUGACGGUAAUGGGUAAAGAAGCACCGGCUAACUACGUG